This 19303-nucleotide long non-coding RNA is filed under the name Ananas comosus (pineapple). Its description in RNAcentral is "long non-coding RNA (ACOM_LNC000195)". The record is from RNAcentral. Lineage: Eukaryota; Viridiplantae; Streptophyta; Magnoliopsida; Poales; Bromeliaceae.
UUUCAUUAAUAUUUUAGGAUUAAUUUUAUAUAGCUUAAUGUAAAUAUAUAUCGAAUAGAAAAUAUAUUUUUAUAAAGUAAAAUUUUUUAUAUUUAUUUUCAUAAAAGUCCAGUAAUAUUUAUAUAUACUUUUCUGAUUUGUUACCGAGUAAUUUUUAUUUUUUAUGAUUAAUUUCAUACAGGCCCCUUCAAAUAUAGUACAUAAAAAAUAUAUCUUUACAAAAUUAAACUUUCAUAUGUUGUUCCUACAAAAAUUUUAAUGUUUUCAAAUAUACUCCUCUGGUUUAUUACCGUUAGAGAACCAUUAGAGAAUCAUUUAUAUUUUCAAAUAUAUUCCUCUGGUUUCAAAAUAUUUUCAUAUAUAUUUGCUAUUUACUAUAUUUGCAGAAACUUGUAUGAAAUUAACCCUAUUAUUUAACAGAGGAUAAGUGAAAUGACAUUUUUGUCAUCACAAAUAUAUCUCUCUAAAAGUCCCAAUAAUUAAAACUAUGCAGAAAUAUUUUUUCAAAAAUUUUCAACGAUCAUCUUCUUUCUUAUGCCAUCAUAAAUAAUAUAAAAGCAGUUAAAAAAAAGCUUAAUUUAUCUCAUUCACUAAUACGGAUUAAGUAUUUUAUUUAUGAUUAACUAUGUUUUCUAACGGAUCAUAACAGUAGGAGUAUAUUUAAAAAUAUUAGAAUUUUUAUUGGAAUAAAUAUAAAAAGCUAAACUUUGUAGAAAAUACCUGCUAUUCGAUAUGUUUACAGUGAGCCGUAUGCAAUUAAUCUAAUAUUUUAUCCACCUGUUCGAUCUACUCGCUUCUGCAGUGGUCAAAAUUCAAAUUCUCUUCCACUUCUUCUAUAUACAUACGCCCUUAAAACACACACACAAAUUAAAACAAAAAGAAAAAAGAAAAUAAAAUUCUCGAUGCCAAACACAUUUUUAUUUGGUCUUCUAUUUUAACCGACACGACCCGUACACGACGACAAAGUCUAAGAACAGACACAAUUUAUUAGAUAUGGACUUGGACUUUGCAGUGUGGUUUGGAAUGAUUGGGAUUGAUUCCCACAACUGUGAAAAUAGCUUUGUAGUUGUAGGACCAUUUCUGUGGAAAGCUACACGAGGAUCGCUUCUUCCUCUUAGCUCUGUUAAGUUUUCAUAAAUCAGCAAGCGAUUUCUCUGCAUUGAAGCAGUUUGUCAGAGACUUAAGAAAAAUUUUAGCCUGACUCAAGUUCUUGGCCGAACUUCAUUAAGGGAUCGUUUGGUUGUAUGUAGUUGUAACUGUAUUGUAUUUAUAACUGUACGUAAAUACAAAUUCGGUGUUUGGUUUGAUGUAUUUAUUUCAACUGCUGCAGUAGGAACUACAGGAGGAGGCCCAACUAUAGCAGUUCGAAUUACGCCCAAAUUGACCGCAGUUUCAACUGCCGCAGUUAGAGAAAGUAACUUUAAAUAAAAGAUAUACUUACCUACUCAAUAAUUUUUAAACAAAAAUUAUUUUUCUUUUUUUUUUUUUAACAUUGGAGAUAAUCUCACCAUCGUAUAUAUAAAAUUAUAAAAUUUUAAAAAUUAUUUAUCAACUGCAUGCAACCAAACAAAUUAUUUAUAGUUACAGUGCUUUCUACUACAUUCAAUCAAGCAGAAUUAUGUAGUUGUAACUAUUGUAUUUUCAACUACAUACAUCUUUAACUACAGUACAUUUAUAAUUACAUCUAACAAAAUGGCCCCUAAGUGAGCAACUAAAGAGGCAUUAUUUAGGAAGCUUCUAUGAGAGAUGAAAUAUUUUGACACUGCAGAAGUUAAAUGCCUCAAGAAACGGUCUCAUGGAAAAUCUGAACUCAUGAGCAAUCUUUGAAUUUACUUUGCAUUAAUGUAGGCAGCUUUCUUAAUUUGUAUCAUAUCGGGAUAUAAAUAGGAGAAUGGCUGAGGUAAAAGUCGAUAAGGGAGAGUGCAUCUGUAAUUUCUGGUUUCAGAUAAUAGAGUACUUAGUUUUUAACAGAACCUCUAUCUCUCUCUACUCUGUCUUUUGCACUUAGUCUUCAAAAGCUAGUAGGUUCAGACUAGUCAGAUCGAGACAGAUUUGUCCAUCUUCAAGUAGGAAGGCGAGACGCCACACGAACUUUUGCGAGUAAAAUCACUGAGUCUGUGACAAGGCGCGUGUAUUAGCCUUUUUGGUAGAAGCAUUUAUGUUUUUUAAUAUGCACACACACACACACACACACACACACACACACACUAAUGAAGGAGUACGAGCCAUCGCUACUCAGAACCUGCUUAUUUUGUAUGUAAUUACAAAAACAUGUAAUUAGAAAGAGCACUACUAUCUACACAUCCAAUCAAUACCAAUACAUUAAAGGGCGAACCGAAAACUCGCUCCACAGUGCGUCCGCGUUUUAGGUUCCAGUCUCUCCGCAUUUUCCGCUCCCUGUUUUCGGUCCUUUAUGUCCGCCUUUUCGCUUCCCCCUCUGGCACUGUACCUCUUCCUUACCUCUCCUCUCCGCGUCUUUCCGCUGGCACUGUACUUCUUCCUUACCUCUCCUCCGCGUUUUCGGCAUGUGGGCCCCUUGCGCAGCAGCUUCUCCCUCUCCCUUUCUCGCGAACCCUAUGUUCUCCUACCGUUACCGUCUACGCAGAUCCGCCGCUUCCCCGGAAAUUCCUCUCUCCCUGGACCGUACGCCUGUAUCUACCCAAAACGGCGCAUUUAAUGGCGCCGCGCAACUCCGCUGGCACUGUACGUCUUCCUUACCUCUUCUCUCCGCGUUUUCGGCACCUCUCCGCGGAUUCGCUGCUUCCCCGAAAAUCCCUCCCUCCCUCGCCCGUACGCCUGUAUCUACCCAAAUCGGGGCAUUUAAUGGCGCCGCGCAACUCCCGUCGGUGCAUUAAAUGCCACCCAUCAACCCGUCGCUUCGCCGGAGAUGGUUUCCUCCCUUCGCCGUACAUGUUUGUAUAUUAUAGAUCUGGGCAUUAAAUGCCCCGCCGGAUCCGCCCCUUCUCCGGAGAUCGCUCGCUCUCUCCGGGCUGGGGAUCAUCCUGAUCUCCACUGUACCUUCACUGUCGCGUCGUCCCGCUGUCAUCUCAGGAUGGUGCGCCGCUGUGAGCCGGCGCCCUUCCCUUGCUCUCUUCGCUUCUCUUUUGGUUUGUUCCAAUGCUGGUAUGUAUAUAUAUAGACUGUUGGCCGGUAAGUUUUGAUGCCCAGCAAAAUUUGGUUUCCUACCUUGCAAUCUUUUCUUGAGAGUGGUGCUGACGCAAGAAAGGAGGUCGGGUUCUCUGGAGGUUUCCUUGCUUGCUUCCUAUUUUGAUGUUCUCUGUCUAUGUGCAUGCCUGGAUUUGCUGAUGUUUGGGUGCUUCGAUGUUUGGUCGCGGUCUUGCACGCGGUUCCUGCUUCGCUUCCUUCUCGCUUUUCUUUUUUCCAUCCGCAAUGGCAUGGCAGUCGAAUGGCUUCCGAGCAAUUGCUGCAGCCUGCGAGCAAGGCAAUGAUGAUAUCGGCAAUACUUGAAAUCUAUCUUACCUUUAUCCGCAAUGGCAUGGCAGUCGAAUAGCCUCAGGGUGAUCGCUGUAGCCUGCGGCUAUUAGUGCAGAAAUCCGGUCCAUAUAAAUCUGAGCCUUGCAUUAUGUUUUCUCAUAUUUUUGGUUUCCCCUUCCUGGCUUUUGUCUCAAUUUGUUUUUUCCCUAAAUUUAACAAUCCAAAGUUUUUUGCUGGCCAUUAAAAAUCUGCGUACCUCCGCCAGUCAUUUCUACUAGCUUUCCUUACUCUUUACAAUUGCCUUCUGGGUUACAAGUAUUUGCUUUAUACCUUGAAUAUGUCCAAAAAAAUAGUUGCCGGUAAGCUUACAAGUAUUUUCAGUGUAUCUUGAUUAUGUCCGAAAAAAAAAGGCCCUCUCGAUGUGCUUCCUUACUUUCUGCACUAAUUGCUUGGGUAUCUAUAUAGCUGUUUUUAUUUCUUACAAAGGGACUGAGAAUCUAUAAACAAGCUCUAAGAAAUAUCUACCUUGCAAUUGGCUCUGGAAUUUAGCCAUACACUUCAGGUCUUUGGAGCUACCUACCUUGCAAUUGACUCACACAUUCUCGACUAAGUCCAGAGCUAGGAGAUAUUGAAAUAGGCCUACUGUUUUUUGUUUGUCUUAUUUGUUGUAUUUUUUAUGGUUAAAUUGUUCACUGCUUACAGUAAACUUGGGCCCCAUUGAUUUUGAAUCCUGGCUUCACUCAUAUUUCUUAAUGUACCUCACAUACGACCAGGAAUGGAUGCUUUUCACUACCAAUAAAUUUUGGAUUAGCUAAAAUAACUUAGCCUUAGGUAUUUCUGAGGCACUUUUGUUGCUGAACUGAUCAAGUCAUAGACUCAUCAUCAUUUCAAGGCAUUUCAGUUUGUGGUAUGCUCAGAAUGGAUGUUUGGUAUUUUCGUUUUGGCUUAAUCCAAAGAAAAUAGCCUUAGGUAUUUCUGAGGCACUUUUGUUGCUGAACUGAUCAAGUCAUAGACUCAAUGGUUAUGGUGUUGCUUAAGCUCAUUUGGGAAUAAUUAGAACAAAUGUUUAUUUAUCCAUUAAUCUUUACGGAACAUGUAUGUCUAUGUUUGGCAAGUGCAUAUUGAAGAUUUGAAUCCCUACUUAACUGAGGAAGUACUCUAUUUUUUGUUGAAACUUUGGGGCUUUCAUUACCUGCCAAUAACCUUACAAACAGUUGUAUUACUUUUCUUUUGAACUGCCGUUGUUGCAUUUUGGGGAUGAAAAGAAAGAAAUAUUCUGGUUGGAUACAUUGCUUUGUUAGAUCUGCACACUCUUCUUUGGGUUGGAUACAUAUCUUUAUUGGAUCUACGCACUCUUCUUUGUCGUUGCAUUGUUGUAGAAUUGCCAUGCUGUUUCUUUUAUCAUGUUUUUACUUUCUUCACUGUUAUUUGUGAGGCCGGGAAGUUCUUCGAAAUCUCCACUUCUUUGCUGUUGCUUUCGCUGGUUUUUCAUGCAAGGUUGUGAUGAUAUAAAGAACUCUACUGAAUAUAUUCGUAUUGGCAUGGCAUGUUGAACAGCUCCGGGGCUGCAUGUUUGCUUUUGUUGCAAGUGCUGGGGAGUUUUUAAAGUACCUUACCUGUUUAGUUUUCCUUUUACCGAUCUUUCGUUCGAAGCUAUGGUGAUAAGGAAAACAGUACAACGUGUCGCCUGGCCCCGGGGCAAUCGCUGCAGCCUGCGAAUAUUAUUGUAGAGAUCCCCACAAUAGCUAUCAUGGAUUUUUGCUUAGAGGAUCUAUAAAUCUGAACCUUGCUUAUCUGUUGUUAUCGUUUUCUUCUUCUUUCUGUCGGCUAUGAUCAUUAUCUACUGUGACCUUUUCCUUUUCUUUGUUCUAUUUUGGGCUUAACUUUCUUCAUUACCUAUUGUUCUCUUUUUCUUUCCUUCAUUUUUUUUGGGGCUUAAGUUUUUUUCCGGCAAAUGGUUUUGUUCCGUCGGGCAAAUGGUUCUGUUCCGUCGAGCUAUUUGUGCUGCUUUUGCUGGUCUGCUUUGGUUUCGGCAUCGCGAUCUGAGUGAAAAAAAGAAAGAAAAGACUUCUUAAAAAAUGACCACAUUUUUUACUUUGUUGUUAAUUUUUUUUCCUUACCUUAGUUGUGUCGAAAUAUGGUGUACUCAAUGGUUGCUUGGCUAACCUAUUCUUAUCUCAUUGUUUUGUUCCGUCGAGCUAUUUGUAGUGCUUCUGCUGGUCUGCUUUGGGUUCGGUAUUACAAUCUGAGUGAAAAAAAAGGAACCUUCUUAAAAAAUGACCACAUUUUACUUUGUUGUUAAUUUUUUUUCCCUUACCUUAGUUGUGCGGAAAUAUGGUGUGCUUGAUGGUUGCUUGGCUAACCUAUUCUUAUCUCAUUGCUCUUUGCUCACAGAUUGUCUGGUCCGAGCUGUUGCUGCUGAACAUAAAAUUCCAAUUACGAGCAUCUCGGCUGACCUCCAGGUGGAUACAUGUGCAUAUGUAUAUACAUAUUACAUAAAUAUGUGGUGGUUUAUAAGUAUGUAUGUAUGUAUUGUUAACAUUCUUAUCUCAUUGCUCUUUGCUCGCAGAUUGUCUGGUCUUGCUCGCAGAUUGUCUGGUCCGAGCUGUUGCUGCUGAACAUAAAAUUCUAAUUACGAGCAUCUCCGCUGACCUCCAGGUGGAUACAUGUGCAUAUGUAUAUAUAUAUUACAUAAAUAUGUGGUGGUUUAUAAGUAUGUAUGUAUGUAUUGUUAACAUUCUUAUCUCAUUGCUCUUUGCUCGCAGAUUGUCUGGUCUUGCUCGCAGAUUGUCUGGUCCGAGCUGUUGCUGCUGAACAUAAAAUUCUAAUUACGAGCAUCUCCGCUGACCUCCAGGUGGAUACAUGUGCAUAUGUAUAUAUAUAUUACAUAAAUAUGUGGUGGUUUAUAAGUAUGUAUGUAUGUAUUGUUAACAUUCUUAUCUCAUUGCUCUUUGCUCGCAGAUUGUCUGGUCCGAGCUGUUGCUGUUGAACAUUAAAUUCUAAUCAGGAGCAUCUCCCCUGACCUCCAGGUGGAUACAUGUGCAUAUGUAUAUACAUAUUACAUAAAUAUGUAGUAGUUUAUAAGUAUGUAUGUAUGUAUUGUUAAACUAUGUAUCAGUUUACCUUUUUUCUAAACUUCCUUAUAUAAAUAUAUAUAUGUGGUCAUCUACUUAGGCUAUUUUUUGUUCUGUCUUUUUUGUUGGCUAUGAUUAUUAUAUAUGUAUCUCUCUCUUCCUCUCUUGAUACAUAUAUAUAUAUAUAUAUAUAUAUAUAUAUAUAGAGAGAGAGAGAGAGAGAGAGAGAGAGAGAGAGAGAGAGAGAGAGAGAGAGACCCGUCUCAACUAUGGAUCGUAUGUCUGUGUGUAUAUACAUAUAUAUACUUAUCAGUUGAUUGUUUUUUGGAUUUUUUUGAAGCUUUCACUCAGUUUACACAUUUUCCUUUCUUUUUUUUUGUAACAUUUAUUUAUUUAUAAUUUGCAUUUAUAAAUAGAUAAAUAUACUAAUUUGCUUGCUUUUUUUAAUUUGUGUUGUUAUAUUUGCUUAUUAGGUUAGAAGGUUUAUUAGAUUUAAUAAGUCUACAAGUAAUUAUAGAUAACAAAGUUCGUUGAAUUUACUAUACAAUUUAAUAGAAUAACAAUUGAUUAAACUUAUUUAAUGCAUAUAUAUAUAUAUAUAUAUAUAUAUAUAUAUAUACCUCUCUACUAUAGGCCAUUUGAAACAAACCCCUCAGUUAAUAUUGUUUUGGCGAGAUUCAAAAUUCUUUUUUCUUUAACUUGAUUUAUUAUAUUUAGUAAUUAAAUUACAAGGUUUAUUAAAUUUGCUGAUUAAUUUCGUUCCUUCGUUGUUCGAACAGAAAGAAAAAUUUUUCGGCCUUCGAAUUACACUCCUGUCCGUUCACUUCGAAAAACAGCUAAAUAUCUAUGUAUCUUUUUUGGAUUUUCUCUACUAUUCGCUUCACUAUCCAAUUAGACUCUAUGCAUUGAUGGUUUUCUUUUGUUUUUGGGCCUGAACUAAUCUUUAGUAGCACAAAUAUAAUUUACCUAUGUAUCUUUUUUGGAUUUUCUCUACUAUUCGCUUCACUAUCCAAUUAGACUCUAUGUAUUGAUGGUUUUGUUUUGUUUUUGGGUCUGAACUAAUCUUUAGUAGCAUAAAUAUAAUCUUUAGUAGCACAAAUAUUUGUGCUAUUUGUUUAAUAUUUUUUAUUGUGUGUUUAUUGUAAAUUUUUCUACCCGCCGCGAAGCGCGGGUACUUAACUAGUAAGGGAUCUAAAUCUUAUACUUUUUUAUCCAAGAAUCCGUAAUAGAACAUAAAUUUAUAGAUUUUAUUAUUUUAUUUUGGCAUGCCAUUAUAUGUUAAAAUCAAAAAAGCCAAACAACUCUUAACUGGUUUGAGUCUUACCAUGCUCGACAAAUAAAAAAAACAUGUGUAGGUAGUAACUUAAAAAAAAUAAAUUAAGUACUAUACAUAAGCGCCACUAUUUUUGCUUUAAAAUUUGGAUUUGUAGACUUAGUAAUUAAAACUAGUUUAAAUUUAAAAUUAUCUACAGAUCAGAUAAAUUCAAAAUAUUUUUUACGUAAAAAUUAAACGUUAUGAUAUUUUGUCGGUGAAUAAAAAAAAGUUUCAUUUCAAAUUAUCUGCAAAUGAGGGGGUCUCCUUAUAAUUUUACCAAAACAUGAAAAAUAAUAAAAAAAAUGUUCCCAAGGUAAUGAGAUUCUUCGAAACCGUGUGAGAGCGCGCCAGCUCAAAUCUCUCCUUUCACCCCUUGACUUUUUUUUUUUUUGGUUUUGAAAAAUUAUUUUCUUUUUUUUUUUUUUUUUUUUUUUUUUUGGUUUUGAAAAAUUAUUUUUUUUUUUUUUUUUUUUUUUUUUUUUUUUUUUUUUUGGUGUAUUAAUUUCGCAUCUCUAUAUAUGUAUGGUUCGUUCCUCGAACGAGGGGUGUGUAGAUCUCACACCCUGAGCUUCUACUAGUAUUUAUAGAGCUCCUCCUCCCCACCCUCUCCCCUCAUUCUCAUUCUCUCUCUCUCUCUAAAACGUUGGAUCGCGUUUAGAACGACAUAGGGACGACGAGGAACGACUCCUAGAGGUAAAUUUCCGAUCCGAUCUCAUCUGAUCUAUGAUGCGGAGGUCUCGAUCUCUUUGUGAUGUCAUUUGAUGCUGGAUCUGUGAUUUUAGUGGUGCAAUUUGUUUCGAUUCGUGAAUCAUUCAUGAUUCUACGAUUUCUUAGGUCCUCUCGCAGAUCUGAGUUUGUGAUUUGUGUACGUUGACUUUGGGAUCUCGUAGAUCUGUAGGUUUCUGUGCAUUGUUUAGGUGGAUUUGACCCGUUUGGGGAAAAUUUGGGUUAGAUAAAGUCUUUUUUUUUGCUGGGAAAUGUAGAUCUGAAUGUUUGUAGGAGGGGGAAUGUGCACCGGGAACUAGAUCUGUUCAUGUUCUGGCUAAUUUGCGCUAUUACCUUUAGAAUUUGAUAUAUUUGAAGGCGUUUUCCAUAGAUCUGUGGACUAUAUUUUCUAUCUCAUGAAUCCAAGGAUUCAAUGUGAGGGAUCGUGGAUUCAGUUGAUCUUAUAUAGAUUUACAGGUUCUUGUGGUUGAGUUGUAUGUUUUGUUUUAUUCAAUUUGAUCUGUGUCAUCAUUCCUUACCAAUAUCAUUGAGGCUAAUCUCAGGUGUAGAUUGAGCCCCUGCUCCUUAAUAGUUAAACAUAAAUGCCAUUGAGCUUCAUCAUUUUUUUUUUGUUUUCCACUCAUUUUUUUUUGAAAAAAAAAUUCUGUUUUUGAAUAAGAUUUGUCUUUCUAUGUAUUAUGUUCUGUAUUACUGUUUAAGGUUCUUUCACAUGCUUCUUCUGGAUUCAAAUAUUGUUUUAGAAUGUCCAAAAAGAACUCGAGCAAGUAAUGCUGUGUGUUUUUUUUUUCUGAUUUUCUUAUUUGAUCAUGGAAGUUUUAAAUUGAUCGUUGGAACCGUUUGGUUUGUUAAUAAGGUUUUGAAAGAGUUGCUUUGCUGUCCAGGCCUCCAACUUUUUGCUCAAAAGUGCCUUAGAAAGAUUAAUCUUUUGAUAUUAUCUCAUUAGGCUUGUUUUUCUGUUUCUUGUGGCAUUAAUUCAAACAGCUUUUAAGAUAAAAAAAGAUGGUGAAGAUCUGCUGCCUCGGCGCCGGCUAUGUUGGCGGCCCCACCAUGGCCGUGAUUGCCCUCAAGUGCCCAGCAGUCGAGGUCGUCGUUGUUGACAUCUCCGUUGCUCGCAUCUCAGCAUGGAACAGCGACCAGCUCCCCAUCUACGAGCCGGGCCUCGAUGACGUCGUGAAGCAGUGUCGCGGCCGCAACCUCUUCUUCAGCACGGAUAUCGAGAAGCACGUGGCGGAGGCCGACAUUAUCUUCGUCUCAGUCAACACCCCGACCAAGACCCGCGGACUCGGCGCCGGAAAGGCUGCUGACCUCACCUACUGGGAGAGCGCCGCCCGCAUGAUUGCCGACGUGGCCAAGUCCGACAAGAUUGUGGUCGAAAAGUCAACGGUCCCGGUCAAGACCGCCGAGGCCAUCGAGAAGAUCUUGACCCACAAUAGCAAAGGAAUCAACUUCCAGAUCCUCUCCAACCCUGAGUUCCUCGCUGAGGGGACUGCGAUUCAGGACCUCUUCAACCCAGACCGUGUUCUCAUUGGUGGGCGGGAGACCCCUGGAGGUCAGAAAGCUGUUCAAGCCCUAAAAGAGGUCUAUGCCAAUUGGGUCCCCGAGGAUCGGAUCAUAACCACUAACCUGUGGUCCGCAGAGCUAUCUAAACUCGCUGCAAAUGCCUUCCUGGCUCAGAGGAUUUCUUCUGUCAAUGCCAUGUCAGCACUCUGCGAGGCCACAGGCGCCAAUGUGGCCGAGGUGUCUUAUGCUGUGGGGAAGGACUCCCGCAUCGGACCCAAGUUCUUGAAUGCUAGCGUCGGAUUCGGUGGCUCCUGCUUCCAGAAGGAUAUCUUGAACCUGGUCUACAUCUGUGAGUGCAACGGCCUGCCGGAGGUCGCCAACUACUGGAAGCAGGUGAUCAAGAUCAACGACUACCAAAAGAGCCGGUUCGUGAAUCGGGUUGUGUCCUCCAUGUUCAACACAGUUGCGGGGAAGAAGAUCGCCGUUCUCGGAUUUGCCUUUAAGAAGGACACUGGGGAUACAAGGGAGACCCCUGCGAUCGAUGUGUGCAAGGGGCUUUUGGGUGAUAAGGCUAAGAUUAGCAUCUUCGAUCCUCAAGUGACCGAGGAUCAAAUCCAACGUGAUCUCGCGAUGAACAAGUUCGACUGGGACCACCCGAUCCACCUCCAGCCGAUGAGCCCAACGGCUGUGAAGCAGGUCACCGUGACGUGGGAUGCAUACGAGGCCACCAAGGGGGCCCACGGGGUCUGCAUUUUGACCGAAUGGGAUGAGUUCAAGAAGCUUGACUAUGCAAAGAUCUACGAGAACAUGCAGAAACCGGCGUUCAUCUUCGACGGGCGCAACGUAAUCGACCCUGAGAAGCUGAGAGAGAUUGGGUUCAUUGUUUACUCGAUCGGGAAGCCGCUUGAUCAGUGGCUCAAGGACAUGCCUGCUGUUGCCUAAAUCAAAGCUGCUCAAGGAGAGUAAUUCUAUUCGGAGGCUCGGUAGAAGGUUUAAAUUCAUGAUUCUUAUAAUUGUUGUUGUUUUUUUUGUUGCUAAAGAUUUAGUACUUUUCCUUGAAUGGUCUAUUUGUUUUCAAAAUUGUAGCUUUUAGAGUCAGCUGAGUCAUCUCCAUGUCUUUGCCACUUAUGAUCUUAUCAUACCUUGUAGGAAGUGUCCUUUGUUAUUUUUAAAAGAGAAAACCUAUAUUUUUGUUGUUGCCGGAGAUAGAAUAAGUAUAAGAAUAACUUUUCUGUUGUUGCUUUCAUAUUUGAUUAUACUAAAUUCAUCUGUGCCGCCUUUAUUUCUAGCUUGUGGAGUCUAAUAAAUUAAUUUGCAUAUAUGUUGGUGGAAGCCCACAACUCUUUGUAUUUUUUUUUUUCCCCUCCUCUCUGUUGAGUAUUUGUGAAGCAUUUUCAGAUAUUUGUCGUGAAUGCACUUGCAUGAAUAUUCUUAUUAAAAAUCUUAGCAAGUUUGCAAAGAUAUAGAGGCGCAUUAAAGUUGGCGGGUAUGUGGAAUAAUGAAGAGGGAAAAGGGUGUAUUCAUCUAAGGGUUUGUUAUCUUUUCUCUAUAGAAUCAGAAGAAUGACCGAGUAACGAGCAGAUUUAUCAGGUCUUUAUUAGAUAUUUUCCAGUGUUAAUUUUUUAGGCAUGUAAUAAUACUGAAAAUGUGGUUAUUGCGGAUAUUCUCACUGCAAAGUAUAAACAACAGAAAAUUUAACGAACAGAUUUGGAAAAUCGCCUCAUUUGAACUUGGAAGAGAAGGAUUUCAGAUUCACAAAUUUCAUGAAAUUUUUUAUGUAAUUCGCCAAUUAGAUUAUACACAUAGUUAAUGCACUUACAUUAUUCGUAGAUUCAUCUUAUUCUUCUUCUUUUUUUACCCUUAAAAGGGCAUUGGUAGUUAAAAGAUACUUCUGAAUCUUACAGCAGAAAGCUUCACAAAAAGGAAAGGAAAAACAGCAUCAUUCCUUGCAGUGUUGAUACCAUUCUUUGCAUCAGAGCUGCAAUCCGCAAAAGUGUUCAUUUUUUGAUUUGAAAUGUUGGAACUCAGAUGCUGCUCUUCUUACUUUGUUUAUACUCAUUCUUGUUAUGUCGAGUACUGGAUCACUACUUCCAUUACCCUGCGCGCCUAUUCGUUGUGCCAAUUUCGGCCGGAAAAGGGAAAAAAAACAGAUCUCUUGAGCUUUGUCCUCCCAAUUUGGCUCAUCUCUAUUUGAUUCAAAUCUUGGUUUUCCAACCAUUAUAAUUGCAACAAAUGUUCAUGUGCUUCUUUUUCUGAAAAAGGGGUAAAUAGGGAUUGGUAACAUGUGCAUCUGAAAAAAAGAAGGAAAAAAACACUUCCAUGAAAAGCUGCAGGGGCUUAAUUGGUAACAUGCUAUUCUUUAAUGUGCACUGCAUGUGUCAUGGAACAUUUUCUUACUUAUGCCCUUGAAAUUUGAGCAGGAAAAUUCUUGAUGAUUGGAAGUCAGCAAACCAGAAUUAGAAUAUUCCUGCAUUGAAGAAGAGAAGAUGGUAUGUCCAGCACCAGGUACUGCAAAUUUUGCAUAUUACUCCCAUGUGAGCAUGAUGUACUCUCUUGGAACAUGUUUUCUGACCAGAUACUUGUUGGAACAUGUUACUUCCAUUAAUAUUAUCAUAUGGAAAGCCUAUUAUUUUCCUUUUGCCUUUUGGCAGAGUUGACUCUAUGAUCCACUAUUCUCUCCCAUAAUUGCUUGCUUUCAUGUUGGGCCAUGUUCUCUCUCUCUCUCUCUCUCUCUUGCAUGUAUUAGUUUCAUGCUGUGAGAUUCCUUGUGCUGUUGUGCAAUAGCUUUGUAUGUGCAGAAUCUGGAUCUGAUGGAUGUAUUAUGUUCAGAAAUGAAGUUUAGAUUCAUGGGUAUGAUUGCUUUUGCAGCUUGAAUUUGGAUAUGGAUUGGUUGAAGCUUGAAGUUUCCAAAUCUGGAAUUCCUGAUUUAUGGGCAUCACUUAUGUUUAGCAGACCCUUCCCUGUUUUAGUAAUUGGUUGGCUUUUAUACCUGCAGAGAAGUUGUGUUUCAAUCUUAAAAAUAAUGCAGAUUAGAGAAAAGCAAGGUUUAAAGUGCCCAUCGGCACAGGACAUAUCCACUGUGCUGUAUCAUGCCAGUAAGAUAUCGGCACAAUAUAGUCUCCGUGCUGAUGGUACAAUUCAAAACUUUUUAUUCUUAAAAUUAGUAAAUAAUUUUUUCAAUAAAAUUCAAAAAAUUUGAUAAAAAAAUAUAUAAUAAAUAAUUGACAUAUUUUAUUGCUCAAGAAAAUAAAUAUUUUAUAUCAUUAUGUAUCAGCAUAUAUAAUUUUUUUGUGACCGACAUUUCUCGACAUGGCCCGGCACGUAAAAUGCUAGCAAAUUUUCGAUAGGAUCUCGUACUACGGCACUGAAUCCUGAAAAAAGGGAAAACUUCAAAAACCCCCCCUGUGGUUUCACGCUUUUUCAUUUUAGUACCCUGUGGUUUGAAGUGUAUCAAGUUAGUACCCUGUGGUUUCUCACUUUAUCACUUUAGUACCCUGUGGUUUAAAAUGUAUCAAGCUAAUACCCUGUGGUUUUGCACUUUAUCACUUUAGUACCCUGUGGUUUCACACUUUAUCACUUUAGUAUCUUGUGAUUUAAAAAACUAUAGGGUACUAACUUGAUACAAAAUUAAAACCACAGGGUACUAAAGUGAUAAAGUGCAAAACCACAGGGUACUAACUUGAUACACUUUAAACCACAGGGUACUUAAGUGAUAAAGUGAGAAACCACGGGGUACUAACUUGAUACAUUUUAAACCACAUGGUACUAAAGUGAAAAAGUGUGAAACCACAAGGGGGUUUUUUGAAGUUUUCCCAAAAAAGAUUAAGUGAAGGGUUACAUAUACAUUGGGUCUUUUUGAUGUGACUUGAGCUUUUUUUCACGAGAAGUACUGUUUGAAAAAGCUAUUCCAAAAGGUUAAGUGUUUAUCAACUUUUUGCUAGUUUUUUUUUUUUUUUUUUGAAGUCCAUUUGAUUGGAUGUAAAUAAAAAUACAGGUAAAAAUAUAUAUAGUUAAAAAUAUAAUAGUUAUAAUUAUAUAUUACUUGGUCGAUUAGAUACAGUAAAAAUAUUGUAAUUAUAAAUAAUUUAUUUGAUUUUAUGCGGUUGAGAAGCAUAUUUUUAAAAUUUUUAUCACUUUAUAUAUAUACGUGGGGAUGAGAUUAUCUCUAAUAUAGAAAAAAAAAUUAUUUUAAAUUAAAAAAUUUAGAGAGGUAACCUUACUUUUUAUUAGAAUUAUUCUUUCCAAUCGCUCCAAUUGGAGCUAUGAUCAAUUUGGAUGUAGUUUCAACGGCUACAAUUGGACCUCUUGUAAUUCUAACUGUAGCACUUGGAUUCAAAAUUGUCUAACCAAAUGCCGAAUUUUGAUCUGCAUAUAGUUACAACUGUAGUAUAAUUACAACUACAUCCAACCAAAUGAUCCCUUAAAAUUAAAAAAAAAACACAAAAAGAGGAAAAUAUAUGAAAUUUAGCUGAACAUGAGCUAUUUUUGACACAUAACCAUUUUAAAUUUGGGUUUUGCAAUCUAGCAUUUUAUUUUAUUUAAUUUAAAUCAUUUAAUGACUCUCCUGUAUUUAUAUUAACGAAAUCGAUAAAAGUAUUCUAUAUGUGAUUCAUUGAUUCUAUAGCUAUUUGAACAAAAGGGUCAUUCUAAAUUCAAACCACUCAAAUCAAACAAUUUAAAAAAAAAUAAAAAUAAAUUAGUAAAAUUAAAAUUUUUCCAUUGAGUGCCAUAAUUUUUAACCAAAAAAGAAGAAAAAUUAAGAACGCACCGCCGUAGAAAGUCGAUCAUACGGUCGUAUACUCUACGAUACCAUACGAAAAAUCACAUUUCCCAUACUAUCCCAAACAAUUUCCAAAGUACCAAACGAGUCCUACUACCAACAAUAGUUAUUUCACUAAUUACAAUUACAACACGUGGUAUAUACAAGGGUAUUUCCGUAAUUAUGAACUCCGAAUAAAAAAAAUUUAUAAAAGAGCGCGUUGAGCCCUAUUUUGGUCAUUACGCACCCUCCUCCCCCAAAUCGCUUCGAUCGCGAUCCCGAUUCCUCUUCGAUCCCUCUUCUUCCUCAUCUCCGAUUCCCCGCCGCGUUCGAUCCCCUCCUCCUCCGCGGCUCCCGCGAUACCCUCCCCUCCCCUCCCCCUCUCUCGUCGCUCCGAUCCUAGGGUUAGGGUUUCGGGGGACUUCUUCUUGCGUCGGCGGCGGCGCCCUCCGUUGGCCCCCCGACCUGUGGAUCUGCCUCGAAGAUCGGGUUUUUCGGUGCGAUCUUUUGGGGGCUUGUUGAUUCUUGAGGCUUGCGAACCCGAAUCGAGGUCGCGGCGAGCCGGUGGAGCUGGUUCUUCAGGGCGUGAUUUGAGGUUAGGGUUUGCUCGGAUUUCGAACUUUUCGAUCUGUUUUAUUUCAUCUGUUUGGGGGGUAUUGCUUUGAUCCGGAUGUGGCUUGUUUGCCCUCUUGUAAUUGCAUGAUGUAUUGGUGGAUUUGGGUAUUUGAAUUGGAUCGCUUUAGGAUUAGGGUUUUGUAUUUGUUGGGGGAAAUCCAUUUCCUUAUUCAAUUAUCAUCUUUCUAUAUCCCAUCAUUGUAGACUUAGGGUUUAAAUUUCAUUUAUCAAGUACUUUAUUGCGAUUUUUAUUUUUCCAGUUAUACGGUAAUUAGCAUGUUGUUUUAUCAAGGUUUUAGAUAUCUUAUUUGAUUUGAUCCUGUACGAAUGCCCUGGGUACACCUAUUCUAAAGCAGCAGCUGUUUUUUUCAGAAUUUAUCUUUUCCAUUUAUUGCUGCUUAACAUAGUAAUUAGCAACUUUAGUAGAUUCCCUUUGUGUAAUGCUUGUUCAAUUGAUUUAGAUGGCUCUGUGUUUGUUUUUAACUAGAAAUUCUAUCUUGGCAUUCCUUUUUUUAUUGCUAGGACUUUGUAUUAUCUUCAGUAGAUAAGUAGAGAGGCUCACUCAAGGAAUGCGUAUAUAUUUUAACACGGUACCGUUCCUAAGACUUAUGGUGAUGCGUAUGGAACUGGAAUGACUUCAUCCCUGUGCGCAUUUCCCUUCACAAGUGGAAUUGCAAAUGACGUUGAAACUUGAACUCUGAUUUUCUGGAAGGAUUGAUAAGCUCGUUAAUUGAUUGGCUACAAUCUGUGAUUUUAUUUUUGUCAUUGGGGUCGUUGUGAUCUAAUGGUGUAUUUUAGCCUCUUCUUUUUUGCAACUAGUUGCUUUCCUUUGUUUAAAUGUGUUUUUAUUUGAAGGUUAUUUCAUAGAAUCUGCAGCCUUCUGACAACUUGAUUUGGUGCACCUGAAAUAUUUGCUGCUCCUUUUGGCUUUAAUUGGUUUAUGACCUAGCAUUCUUUCGCUUGUUGUAUAUUAUACACUAUAAAGGUAAUUCUUGCAAGUGUUAUAAAUUUUUCAUUGGCGAAAGUUAUUCCACAUAUUGUGUUGUGCUAUUUGAAGCUAGACAGGUCUCUUUUAGGAGCUUCAAUUGCUGCUUUUACGCUUCCCUAAGUGGCUGAGUGAUACAUAUCAUUAUUGGUGUCUCUAGUGUGCUAGUCUUUUGCUCCAUGAUAUAUUUUCUAAUUGAUUGUUUGUCCUGCAGGUCAAGUAUGGUGUUUGUGCACGGCAAACAACCUCUAACGGAUGAUCAGUUUGACCAUCUUGCUGAUCAGAACCUGAGUGGGUUGGAGGAGCACUAUCAAAUUGCACCAUUCUCUGACAUUUCUUCAUCUAAAGGUAAACAGUGCCAAAUUUUUCUUUGAAGACAAAUAGAGUGAUAAUUAGUUUCCUAUUCACUCUAUUCUGUAAAGAUUGCGAAAAUUUUAGUAAAAGUAGAGGAGCUGGUGACCUGAAAUGUUCUCGUGGUGAGAAAUUGUUUGUCUUUGGUGACAGGUGGCGCUGGUGAGCAUUUCAAGUUGGAGCAUAGCAAGCGGCCUCUUUGCGAUGGCAAGCCUUCCCAAGUUGCUCUUAAACGCCCAAAGCAACUGGACCAGAAUAGAAUGUUAUAUUCAUUUGAAGAAUUUACAUUUACUUCAGGCGCCUUUGAGGGGCUACCUGCCUCAGGUUUCUUAAACUAGUUCUCUUUACUUGUGUAUAAUAUUUUUUGAUAGUUCAGAAUGUGCUGAACCUAGAGAAGCUUACACUAACAUUUCUUUCUCUUGCCAGUUCUAGUGGACAAAUAUUUUGGCAGCAGAGACAAUAAUUAUUUUCCUAGCUUUGAUCCACCUGUUCGGGCACCUCUCUUUCCUUACUAUUUCGAGGAUUGCCAACGAGCAGUUGGAUUUAAUCAAGUAGAUGAGAUUCAUUCACCUGUUCUCGAAAUUCAUCCUCGAAAACCUGUUGCCAUUGGGCCCAAUCAUCAGGCCGAUCUUCCAGAUUGGAAGCCAAGAGGUUUUAGGAAUGGCUCUGGGGAUUCUUUUCAUUGUGAUGCGUCUUCACUUAAUUCGGAGACAUGUUUAGCUUCUGUUUGUCAUCCUGCGGAUGAUGAAAAUGAGGAUAGUGAGAAGUGGAUUAGAACUUGUGUCAUUCCAAUGCCUUGUGCAGAUGGCUUAGCUUCAGAAAUCAGAACUACAAAUAGUAAUAUACGUUGUAGCUGCACUGAACCUGGGUCCAUCCAAUGCGCAAAACAGCAUGUGAUGGAGGUCAGAGAGAAUCUCAAGGCAGCCUUGGGGCCAGACAGAUUCGAAGCAUUAGGGUUUUGUGAGAUGGGAGAGGAUGUAGCUUUGAAAUGGACGGAAGAGGAGGAGAGACUUUUCCAGGAAGUCGUCCUAUCCAACCCUGCUUCCUUGGGCAAGAACUUUUGGGAUGAGCUCCCGCAUGUAUUCUCCUCGAAAAGCAGCAAAGAGUUGGUCAGUUACUAUUUUAACGUCUUCAUGCUACGAAAGAGGGCUGAGCAAAACAGGUCGGAUCCCAUGAAUGUGGACAGCGACAAUGAUGAAUGGCAAGAGAGCGAUGAUGGUGAGUUUGAAGAGGACGAAACAGAAGAAGAUUCUGCUGUGGACUCUUUGACUGACAGGGAGGACUUAGGUUAUAAUCAUAAAGCUUGUGUGGGGGGAGAUAUUCAUGAAGAAUCUGAUGAGGGAGAUGACUGUGAUGGUGAAGAAAAUGAAGGGGUCACCGGAAAAAAUCUGCGAGGCCGUUCAGAUGAUCUGGGUGUCCAGGAUGAAUCGUGCACAUCAUUUGAGGGCCAGAAUAACGGGGCUGACUCUGCUAGUCAGGCUGACGAGAUGCAACAUUUUAGCAUCGAAGAAAACGGGAACCACCAGAGGGAACAUAGAAAUGAUUGGUUGAGUGGUAUUGCAGAUAAUGUGUUCUUCGAUGGCCAUUGUGACCCAAAAAUGUGGGAAAUGAACUUUAGUCAUGAAAGAAGAGAAGAUUUUUUGUCGACCUGUAACGUGGUUGAAGAAGUGAUUGGUAUAGAUGCUUACGAGAAUAAUGCUAUCAGUCGUCAUAGCAUCAGCUAGUUUUCUGCUGGGCCUCUGAUUCGGCUUUUCUCAUUGCAUCAAAUCCUUUCAAGAUUCUAUAGUUUGUCGCGGUUGUGAAUCAAUGUUCUUGAUUCUCAAUGUACAUUCAUGAAGGAAAUCAGCGGGUCUGGGUCUCUUGUAGAGUAGUUUAAAUACAAUAUUUAGUCCUGAAGAUUUGCUCUUUAGGACUGCAUGAAGGUGUCCUUAAAUUAUUUUAUAGAGCAAUCCCUUCUUUCCCAACGAGAGAAUCUUUGUACAAGGGGGUUUACGUUGUUCAGAACCUUCAAUUUAUUAAUUUACAUUUAUAUAUCUUUGUUUACCAUGAUUUAUUAUAGGAAAUUGCUCUUCCAUGUUGUCACUUUUUUGUCAUUUGUGUCGGCAGUCAAAUAAAAUUUCCUAUUUAUGAGAUGAGCUUAUGAGCUGUUGUUGGGAGGAUCAUUUACUGGAGAUAAUAUAAAGAUGGAAUGAGGCUUGAAGGUUUUCUCUCUCUCUCUCUCUCUCUCUCUCUCUCUCUCUCUCUCUCUCUCUCUUGAUUGAGCACGAUUUUGUUGUCGAAAUUCUGAUUUGGAGGUCAUGUUACUGCCCAAUGCAUAGCUGAGUGUAUCUUAAACUUGCACCUGAUUUCUCUGCAGUGAAACAUCUGAACUAAAGGAAAGCAGGUUAGUCUUAAGAUUUAGAGCAAGAUCUUCAGUAGCAGAUGAAUUGGGUGAUAAAUUCUAGGUAGGGUCUGUCUAAUCUGACUAAAGCUUCUCGUGAAGUGCUAUUUGCGGAAGCCCAAUAGCUUGUCGUUCCAAAUCCCCGACUUACCUAUUCAAUCUA